AGGAGAGUUUGAUCAUGGCUCAGAUUGAACGCUGGCGGCAGGCCUAACACAUGCAAGUCGAGCGGAAACGAGUUGUCUGAACCUUCGGGGAACGAUAACGGCGUCGAGCGGCGGACGGGUGAGUAAUGCCUGGGAAAUUGCCCUGAUGUGGGGGAUAACCAUUGGAAACGAUGGCUAAUACCGCAUAAUAGCUUCGGCUCAAAGAGGGGGACCUUCGGGCCUCUCGCGUCAGGAUAUGCCCAGGUGGGAUUAGCUAGUUGGUGAGGUAAUGGCUCACCAAGGCGACGAUCCCUAGCUGGUCUGAGAGGAUGAUCAGCCACACUGGAACUGAGACACGGUCCAGACUCCUACGGGAGGCAGCAGUGGGGAAUAUUGCACAAUGGGCGCAAGCCUGAUGCAGCCAUGCCGCGUGUAUGAAGAAGGCCUUCGGGUUGUAAAGUACUUUCAGCAGUGAGGAAGGUGGUAGUGUUAAUAGCACUAUCAUUUGACGUUAGCUGCAGAAGAAGCACCGGCUAACUCCGUGCCAGCAGCCGCGGUAAUACGGAGGGUGCGAGCGUUAAUCGGAAUUACUGGGCGUAAAGCGCAUGCAGGUGGUUUGUUAAGUCAGAUGUGAAAGCCCGGGGCUCAACCUCGGAAUUGCAUUUGAAACU
RNAcentral lists this ribosomal RNA (650 nucleotides) under uncultured bacterium. RNAcentral's name for it is "bacterial SSU rRNA". It matches the Rfam family "Bacterial small subunit ribosomal RNA", at positions 1 to 634 of the family's 1533-position model. The record is from RNAcentral.